Molecule: unclassified non-coding RNA, 264 nt
Filed under: fungal sp.
Lineage: Eukaryota; Fungi
Description: partial internal transcribed spacer region
Rfam family: Eukaryotic small subunit ribosomal RNA (bases 1-46)
Source: RNAcentral
AAGUCGUAACAAGGUUUCCGUAGGUGAACCUGCGGAAGGAUCAUUAACUAUGCGAAAGCAUAUACCCGCCCGCGGCCUCGUGCCGCUGUGGUGACCACCCUUUGUGAACCUUUAUUUUUUGCUUCGGCAGUUCGCCUCCCGCAAGGGUUGCGGUAAAGCUGCCGACAGCCCACACCAUAAACUAUUUUGUUACCAGAAAUCAUGCAGUCUGAUUUACUUUAAUAUAAAAAGUUAAAACUUUCAGCAACGGAUCUCUUGGUUCUC